This 355-nucleotide small RNA is filed under the name uncultured fungus. RNAcentral's name for it is "eukaryotic LSU rRNA". The stretch from base 1 to 151 matches the Rfam family "5.8S ribosomal RNA". The record is from RNAcentral. Lineage: Eukaryota; Fungi.
UUUCAACAACGGAUCUCUUGGUUCUGGCAUCGAUGAAGAACGCAGCGAAAUGCGAUAAGUAAUGUGAAUUGCAGAAUUCAGUGAAUCAUCGAAUCUUUGAACGCACAUUGCGCCCGCCAGUAUUCUGGCGGGCAUGCCUGUUCGAGCGUCAUUUCAACCCUCAAGCCCCCGGGCUUGGUGUUGGGGAUCGGCGUGCCCUCGCGGCGCGCCGUCCCCUAAAUCUAGUGGCGGUCUCGCUGUAGCUUCCUCUGCGUAGUAGCAACACUCGCUCUGGAUCGCAGCGCGGCCACGCCGUUAAACCCCCCACUUCUGAAAGGUUGACCUCGGAUCAGGUAGGAAUACCCGCUGAACUUAA